RNAcentral lists this ribosomal RNA (520 nucleotides) under uncultured Glomeromycotina. RNAcentral describes it as "SSU rRNA". It matches the Rfam family "Eukaryotic small subunit ribosomal RNA", at positions 569 to 1087 of the family's 1831-position model. The record is from RNAcentral. Lineage: Eukaryota; Fungi; Glomeromycota.
AGCAGCCGCGGUAAUUCCAGCUCCAAUAGCGUAUAUUAAAGUUGUUGCAGUUAAAAAGCUCGUAGUUGAAUUUCAGGAUUGACACAUCGGUCGUGCCUUAAGGGGUAUGAACUGGUGUAGUCAAUUUCUCACCUUCUGGAGAACCGCGAUGCCCUUAAUUGGGUGUCACGGGGAACCAGGACCUUUACUUUGAAAAAUUAGAGUGUUUAAAGCAGGCAUUUUGCUUGAAUACAUUAGCAUGGAAUAAUAAAAUAGGACGGCAUGAUUCUAUUUUGUUGGUUUCUAGGAUCACCGUAAUGAUUAAUAGGGAUAGUUGGGGGCAUUAGUAUUCAAUUGUCAGAGGUGAAAUUCUUGGAUUUAUUGAAGACUAACUACUGCGAAAGCAUUUGCCAAGGAUGUUUUCAUUAAUCAAGAACGAAAGUUAGGGGAUCGAAGACGAUCAGAUACCGUCGUAGUCUUAACCAUAAACUAUGCCGACUAGGAAUCAGACGAUGUAAUUUUUAAUGACUCGUUUGGCACC